UAGCUAUGUGCGGACGGGAUAAGUGCUGAAAGCAUCUAAGCAUGAAGCCCCCCUCAAGAUGAGAUUUCCCAUUCCGCAAGGAAGUAAGAUCCCUGAAAGAUGAUCAGGUUGAUAGGUCUGAGGUGGAAGUGUGGCGACACAUGGAGCUGACAGAUACUAAUCGAUCGAGGACUUAACCUAAA
This 182-nucleotide ribosomal RNA is filed under the name Bacillus paralicheniformis. RNAcentral's name for it is "partial 23S ribosomal RNA". It matches the Rfam family "Bacterial large subunit ribosomal RNA", at positions 2746 to 2925 of the family's 2925-position model. Lineage: Bacteria; Bacillati; Bacillota; Bacilli; Caryophanales; Bacillaceae. The record is from RNAcentral.